AACCCCGGCGAGGGGAGUGAAAAAGAACCUGAAACCGUGUACGUACAAGCAGUGGGAGCACGCUUCGGCGUGUGACUGCGUACCUUUUGUAUAAUGGGUCAGCGACUUAUAUUCUGUAGCAAGGUUAACCGAAUAGGGGAGCCGAAGGGAAACCGAGUCUUAACUGGGCGUUAAGUUGCAGGGUAUAGACCCGAAACCCGGUGAUCUAGCCAUGGGCAGGUUGAAGGUUGGGUAACACUAACUGGAGGACCGAACCGACUAAUGUUGAAAAAUUAGCGGAUGACUUGUGGCUGGGGGUGAAAGGCCAAUCAAACCGGGAGAUAGCUGGUUCUCCCCGAAAGCUAUUUAGGUAGCGCCUCGUGAAUUCAUCUCCGGGGGUAGAGCACUGUUUCGGCAAGGGGGUCAUCCCGACUUACCAACCCGAUGCAAACUGCGAAUACCGGAGAAUGUUAUCACGGGAGACACACGGCGGGUGCUAACGUCCGUCGUGAAGAGGGAAACAACCCAGACCGCCAGCUAAGGUCCCAAAGUCAUGGUUAAGUGGGAAACGAUGUGGGAAGGCCCAGACAGCCAGGAUGUUGGCUUAGAAGCAGCCAUCAUUUAAAGAAAGCGUAAUAGCUCACUGGUCGAGUCGGCCUGCGCGGAAGAUGUAACGGGGCUAAACCAUG
Molecule: ribosomal RNA, 668 nt
Filed under: Escherichia coli
Lineage: Bacteria; Pseudomonadati; Pseudomonadota; Gammaproteobacteria; Enterobacterales; Enterobacteriaceae
Description: partial 23S ribosomal RNA
Rfam family: Bacterial large subunit ribosomal RNA
Source: RNAcentral